AACGAACGCUGGCGGCAGGCUUAACACAUGCAAGUCGAGCGGGUGUCCUGCGGGGCAUCAGCGGCGGAGGGGUUAGUAACGCGGGGGAACGUGCCUUCUGCUCUGGAAUAGCCCUGGGAAACUGGGGGUAAUAUCGUAUGUACCCUGAGGGGGAAAGGUUUAACUGGCAGGAGAUCGGCCCGCGUCUGUUUAGGUAGUUGGUGUGGUAAUGGCGUACCAAGCCGACGAUGGGUAGCUGGUUUGAGAGGAUGAUCAGCAACACUGGGACUGAGACACGGCCCAGACUCCUACGGGAGGCAGCAGUGGGGAAUCUUAGACAAUGGGGGCAACCCUGAUCUAGCCAUGCCGCGUGGGUGAUGAAGGCCUUAGGGUCGUAAAGCCCUUUCGCUGGGGAAGAUAAUGACGGUACCCAGUAAAGAAGCCCCGGCUAACUCCGUGCCAGCCGCCGCCGUAA
RNAcentral lists this ribosomal RNA (454 nucleotides) under uncultured bacterium. Its description in RNAcentral is "partial 16S ribosomal RNA". It matches the Rfam family "Bacterial small subunit ribosomal RNA", at positions 28 to 523 of the family's 1533-position model. The record is from RNAcentral.